RNAcentral lists this ribosomal RNA (301 nucleotides) under uncultured bacterium. RNAcentral describes it as "partial 16S ribosomal RNA". It matches the Rfam family "Bacterial small subunit ribosomal RNA", at positions 509 to 809 of the family's 1533-position model. The record is from RNAcentral.
CAGUAGCCGCGGUAACACGGAGGGUGCAAGCGUUAUCCGGAUUUAUUGGGUUUAAAGGGUCCGUAGGCGGAUCUGUAAGUCAGUGGUGAAAUCUCACAGCUUAACUGUGAAACUGCCAUUGAUACUGCAGGUCUUGAGUAAAUUUGAAGUGGCUGGAAUAAGUAGUGUAGCGGUGAAAUGCAUAGAUAUUACUUAGAACACCAAUUGCGAAGGCAGGUCACUAAGAUUUAACUGACGCUGAUGGACGAAAGCGUGGGGAGCGAACAGGAUUAGAUACCCGUGUAGUCCCUGUCUCUUAUAU